AAUCUGCCCUGCACUCUGGGACAAAGCCCUGGAAAACGGGGUCUAAUACCGGAUAUGACACAUGAGGGCAUCCUCGUGUGUGGAAAGCUCCGGCGGUGCAGGAUGAGCCCGCGGCCUAUCAGCUAGUUGGUGGGGUAGUGGCCUACCAAGGCGACGACGGGUAGCCGGCCUGAGAGGGCGACCGGCCACACUGGGACUGAGACACGGCCCAGACUCCUACGGGAGGCAGCAGUGGGGAAUAUUGCACAAUGGGCGAAAGCCUGAUGCAGCGACGCCGCGUGAGGGAUGAAUGCCUUCGGGUUGUAAACCUCUUUCAGUAGGGAAGAAGCCUUCGGGUGACGGUACCUGCAGAAGAAGCACCGGCUAACUACGUGCCAGCAGCCGCGGUAAUACGUAGGGUGCGAGCGUUGUCCGGAAUUAUUGGGCGUAAAGAGCUCGUAGGCGGCUUGUCACGUCGGUUGUGAAAGCCCGGGGCUUAACCCCGGGUCUGCAGUCGAUACGGGCAGGCUAGAGUUCGGUAGGGGAGAUCGGAAUUCCUGGUGUAGCGGUGAAAUGCGCAGAUAUCAGGAGGAACACCGGUGGCGAAGGCGGAUCUCUGGGCCGAUACUGACGCUGAGGAGCGAAAGCGUGGGGAGCGAACAGGAUUAGAUACCCUGGUAGUCCACGCCGUAAACGGUGGGAACUAGGUGUGGGCGACAUUCCACGUCGUCCGUGCCGCAGCUAACGCAU
RNAcentral lists this ribosomal RNA (729 nucleotides) under Streptomyces sp. DMS052. RNAcentral's name for it is "bacterial SSU rRNA". It matches the Rfam family "Bacterial small subunit ribosomal RNA", at positions 123 to 860 of the family's 1533-position model. The record is from RNAcentral. Lineage: Bacteria; Bacillati; Actinomycetota; Actinomycetes; Kitasatosporales; Streptomycetaceae.